CUUUACUGUCAAUUCUUUUUAAGCCCUUUAAGUUCCUGUUUCAUAGAUUAAUAUUCCCUCUGUUUCAGUUUAUGUGUCUUACUUUGCAUUUUAGUUUGUUUAGAAAAGAAUGCCACUUACUAUAAUUAGUAACUCUUUAAUUCCAAUAUGGACUACGACAUGUUUAAGAUCACAAGUUUCAAAGGGCAUAAAAAGAAUGCGCUUCCUAUAAUUAGUAACUCUUUAAUUCCAGCAUGGACUAUGACAUGUUUAAGAUCACAAGUUUCAAUAGGCAUUUUGGUGCACUGUACACAUCUUUAGUUUAAGACCACAAUAUUCAAAAAUCUCUUACUAACACAUAAAAUGAAACGGAGAGAGUAGUUAUGAUGUUGCAUUUUGAUUAUUGGGAGGAUAAGUGGUGUGGAUGUAGAACUGUCUAUUGUGGUUCAUAAAACGAAUACAAAAAUCUAUCUUAUGAGAAUUUGUAUUGUUGAUGUCUUAGAACUAGUGCGAUAAGUCCUGAUUGUUUGAUUGGAUUCAUUUUUGAAAGCUUUUGAACCUUGAAUGGCUUUGCUGCGCAAGUUGAAGUUAAGUGAUCAGCUGCCAAGCUGGACUUGUUGGAAGUUUGUGGAAUAUCAGAGUGUUCUGAUACCUCUUGUUGGGUCGAGAGAUACCCACAGGAAAAAUAACCAAAGUUAGUUAAUGAGAAUAAACAAAUGAAUGAAACCAAGAUUUUACGUGGAAAAUCCUUCUCAAAUUAUGCACUUGUUACACUAGUCAUUGAUAUGCAAGUCUCAAGUAUCACAAAGUUGUCGAGAGAUUUUACCACCCAAAAGAGGAAGCUUUCCUCGUGUACCUACAAGCUUCCUUUCACCUAGCUCUUAUGCAGAACUUUCUCUUGUUGCAGUACUCAAAAUUUUCCGCUAAGAAGCCUACUCUUGGCAUUUUCUCUGCGAACUCUAUAGCACAUCCGAACACGUCUCCCAUUAGUUGCACCACUGUAUAGAGCUCACUCAAUGAGAAGAUAUAUCAAGUCUUCAUAGAGGGAUCUCAUCGUCUUAUAUCCAUCGUAACCUCACAAAUUAUUAGGCAUAUAGGGAUUUUAUCUUUCCUGUCCACCUCAGUGUUGUCAAAGGCUUGCUAGAAUCGCGCUUAAGCUCUGAAACUAAGUGUAAAACAGGCUGAGCCCUUCGCGUAGCCGGCACUUUAGUGCAACUAAAAGGCGCUAAGGCGCACCGCACAUGCCUCAUUAAUGGGCCUUGUUAUGAAGAGGAGACACUAACUAAUGAAUAUUCCACUUUGUAGUUUUUUCAAAUUCCUUUGUUUUAUUUAUGCGUAUAAUUGUUUUUCUUGAGUUACAUAUU
Molecule: long non-coding RNA, 1343 nt
Filed under: Nicotiana benthamiana
Lineage: Eukaryota; Viridiplantae; Streptophyta; Magnoliopsida; Solanales; Solanaceae
Description: long non-coding RNA (NBEN_LNC003109)
Source: RNAcentral